RNAcentral lists this ribosomal RNA (207 nucleotides) under uncultured Sedimentibacter sp. RNAcentral describes it as "partial 16S ribosomal RNA". It matches the Rfam family "Bacterial small subunit ribosomal RNA", at positions 568 to 775 of the family's 1533-position model. Lineage: Bacteria; Bacillati; Bacillota; Tissierellia. The record is from RNAcentral.
UGAGUAGGCGGUUGCAUAUGUCAGAUGUAAAAGGCACAGGCUUAACUUGUGUUAGCAUUUGAAACUGUGUGACUUGAGUGCAGGAGAGGUAAGUGGAAUUCCUAGUGUAGCGGUGAAAUGCGUAGAUAUUAGGAGGAACACCAGUGGCGAAGGCGACUUACUGGACUGUAACUGACGCUGAGUCACGAAAGCGUGGGUAGCAAACAG